Molecule: transfer RNA, 72 nt
Organism: Ovis aries (sheep)
Lineage: Eukaryota; Metazoa; Chordata; Mammalia; Artiodactyla; Bovidae
Rfam family: tRNA
About the family: Transfer RNA (tRNA) molecules are approximately 80 nucleotides in length. Their secondary structure includes four short double-helical elements and three loops (D, anti-codon, and T loops). Further hydrogen bonds mediate the characteristic L-shaped molecular structure. tRNAs have two regions of fundamental functional importance: the anti-codon, which is responsible for specific mRNA codon recognition, and the 3' end, to which the tRNAs corresponding amino acid is attached (by aminoacyl-tRNA synthetases). tRNAs cope with the degeneracy of the genetic code in two manners: having more than one tRNA (with a specific anti-codon) for a particular amino acid; and 'wobble' base-pairing, i.e. permitting non-standard base-pairing at the 3rd anti-codon position.
Source: Rfam
UCCUUGGUGGCUCAGAUGGUAAAGAAUCUGCUUGCAAUGCAGGAGAUCUGGGUUCGACCCUUGGCUUGGGAA